UAUUCUUGGGAGACCUUUUUUGGAAACCAGGAGAUUAAUUUUUUAUUUGGAUCAAGAAGAAAUGAAAUUUUGGAUUUAAAAUAAUGACGUAUCUUUCUGGGUUUGCAAUAUAGAAAAACAAUCAAUGGAACUUCAAGUGGUGUCCGUCAUUGAUGUGCUAGACACGAAGGUGGAUGAUGGGUCCCUCAAAGAACCAACUUUAAAUUUGAAGAACAUUAUGUAGCCUUGAUAAAUUAGGCAAUAGGUUGGAGGCAACCUAGAAAAUCCACGAAAGUUUCCUGUAUCCAUUGAAUUUUUAUUAUUUGAGUAGGUUUAAAUUUUGUUUGUGAUUAAUCCAUGAAAUUACGGUGCCAUAAGGUGUUUUGAAUGAGAUUGAGAGAGG
Molecule: long non-coding RNA, 382 nt
Filed under: Capsicum annuum
Lineage: Eukaryota; Viridiplantae; Streptophyta; Magnoliopsida; Solanales; Solanaceae
Description: long non-coding RNA (CANN_LNC011435)
Source: RNAcentral